GCAGUGAAGACUCGCGGAUGUGGAGGCC
RNAcentral lists this non-coding RNA (28 nucleotides) under Bombyx mori (domestic silkworm). Lineage: Eukaryota; Metazoa; Arthropoda; Insecta; Lepidoptera; Bombycidae. The record is from RNAcentral.